AGAGUUUGAUCCUGGCUCAGAACGAACGCUGGCGGCGUGGAUAAGACAUGCAAGUCGAACGGAUUUUUUCAGGUAGCAAUACUUGGGAGAGUCAGUGGCGCAAGGGUGCGUAACACGUGGGCAACCUGCCCUGGGGAACGGGAUAGCCCGCCGAAAGGCGGAUUAAUACCGUAUGUGGCUACCGAGUGCCUACUCGGGACGCUAAAGGUGGCGCAAGCUGCCGCUCUGGGAUGGGCCCGCGGCCUAUCAGCUAGUUGGUGGGGUAACGGCUCACCAAGGCGAUGACGGGUAGCUGGUCUGAGAGGACGACCAGCCACACUGGAACUGAGACACGGUCCAGACACCUACGGGUGGCAGCAGUCGAGAAUUUUUCUCAAUGGGGGCAACCCUGAAGGAGCGACGCCGCGUGGAGGAUGAAGGUUUUCGGAUUGUAAACUCCUGUCAUUGGUGAACAAGACUGCGGUUUAACUGACCGUUAGUUUGCUAGUAGCCGAAGAGGAAGGGACGGCUAACUCUGUGCCAGCAGCCGCGGUAAUACAGAGGUCCCGAGCGUUGUUCGGAUUCAUUGGGCGUAAAGGGUGCGUAGGCGGCUUGCUAAGUCUGAUGUGAAAUCCCCGGGCUCAACCUGGGAACUGUAUUGGAUACUGGCAGGCUAGAGUACUGGAGAGGAAACUGGAAUUUACGGUGUAGCAGUGAAAUGCGUAGAGAUCGUAAGGAAGACCAGUGGCGAAGGCGAGUUUCUGGACAGUAACUGACGCUGAGGCACGAAGGCCAGGGGAGCAAACGGGAUUAGAUACCCCGGUAGUCCUGGCAGUAAACGGUGCACGUUUGGUGUGGGAGGAAUCGACCCCUUCCGUGCCGGAGCUAACGCGUUAAACGUGCCGCCUGGGGAGUACGGUCGCAAGAUUAAAACUCAAAGAAAUUGACGGGGGCCCGCACAAGCGGUGGGAGUAUGUGGCUUAAUUCGAUGCAACGCGA
Molecule: ribosomal RNA, 978 nt
Filed under: uncultured bacterium
Lineage: Bacteria
Description: bacterial SSU rRNA
Rfam family: Bacterial small subunit ribosomal RNA
Source: RNAcentral